AGAGUUUGAUCCUGGCUCAGGAUGAACGCUGGCGGCGUGCCUAACACAUGCAAGUCGAGCGAAGGAUAUAUAAAGAAAUCUUCGGAUGGAUUUAUAUAAACUUAGCGGCGGAUGGGUGAGUAACGCGUGAGAAAUCUACCAUGCACUAGGGGAUAGCCUCGGGAAACUGGGAAUAAUACCCUAUGACACUUACAUUUCGCAUGAAGAGUAAGUUAAAGCUUUAGCGGUGCUUGAUGAUCUCGCGUCCCAUUAGUUAGUUGGUAAGGUAAUGGCUUACCAAGACUACGAUGGGUAGCCGGCCUGAGAGGGUGACCGGCCACACUGGAACUGAGACACGGUCCAGACUCCUACGGGAGGCAGCAGUGGGGAAUAUUGCACAAUGGAGGAAACUCUGAUGCAGCGACGUCGCGUGAACGAUGAAGGUCUUCGGAUCGUAAAGUUCUGUCCUAGGGGAAGAUAGUGACGGUACCUUAGGAGGAAGCCCCGGCUAACUACGUG
This 498-nucleotide ribosomal RNA is filed under the name uncultured bacterium. Its description in RNAcentral is "bacterial SSU rRNA". It matches the Rfam family "Bacterial small subunit ribosomal RNA", at positions 8 to 507 of the family's 1533-position model. The record is from RNAcentral.